UCUGUUGUGUUCUGGUUGUGGGGAGGUGGGGCGGGGAUUCUUAAUAUACCGGUUUGUGACUAACCGGCCUGACUUGAGCACUGUGAAGCUGCACGAUGACACAGCCGUCGUUACAUGUGUACGGUAGAAGCCCAGAACUGAGGUCUCCCAGUGCUGCCCUGGAGCAGAAUGGAAGGAAAAUCCACUGCAGAGAACAAUGGUUCCUGGAGGCAAAGUGCCCUGCUGUCCUUGGCUUUUGAAAAACAGCUGCUGCUACAAAACAGUUCUCAGGGUUUGCAUAAAACCUGGAACAGUGGUUUUGCUCCAAGGCAAAAUAAGCUGGAAAGCGACCCAGUCGUUUGGACACAAGCAGAGAGGAUAGAUGAUCCCGCUGCAGUACAAGAGAUGCAGACUUACUCUUCAUUGGCCACUCAGCAUAGCUUGUAAGUGCAAAUGCUGUUUGCUACGGUUGCCUUCUGCAACCUAACAGGGGCGGCUUCUGAUUUAGAGAAAGGAGUCCAUAGAAAAAUACAGGUAGGAAAAGGUGCUGUGGGAAGUGGGGCUUGUGAUUCAGCAGGGGGCGGUUUUUCUUGUGGGUCAGCAUCGAACCUAACCCAAGCCCAGCAUCAGGGCUUGUCUACACUACUGUGCGAGGUCAAGCUCAGAGACGCCACUUCAGCUACGUGAAUAGCGUAGCUGAAAUCAAAGUACUUAGAUCUACUCACCGCGGUAAAUCGACAGCCAACGCUCUCCCGUCCACUCCGCUUGCGCUUCUCGUUCUGGUGGAGUACUGGAGUCGACGGGAGAGCGCUCAGCUCAGAGCUGGACACGAUAAAUCGGAUCCGGCAGGUAGUGUAGACAAGCCCUUAAAGGGGGCCGAGCCGCUGGAGAGGCCGUCUGUUCGAAGAGUUGUAAAAACGAGGUCCAACAUUCAAAUCCAGGUCACUUCUAGCACCAUGUUAACGGCUGCUCAGCCUGGAAGCCAUUUGAAUGUACCAGCUUUGUUGAACCUACCCACCUAGGAACACAGCUACGUGUCCUGUCAGCUCUUUAGCUGCCCUAGCUAUCACCACACACCCAUCCACACAGUCGCUGCUUUUCUAUCCAGUUCUCAGGACAAUGUCUGUUCUUUGCCAAUCAGCACGUCUCACAGCCUCUGAGGGCCCACACAUGAAUUCACACACAGCCGGCGUCAGAAGAGGGGAUUGCUGCUUUCUGGUGAUGCUAAAAGAAAAACUUUUUGUUCAGGUGGGGUCUGUAAACAGCUAAGUGAGCCUGGGAUUAGAAAUGCUGCACUGAAAAACAGACAAUGCCCUUAAGAAUCUGCAGAAGACUCCAGUGUCUCUAUUUGACGGGUCACCCACCAGCACCUGUGCUGGCAGGGUUCUGCCCAACACAGUGCACCCUGGUACAUUUUGCUGCUGACAUCCACAGAUGCAAAUCUUCCCUUGUUAUUUAUGGGGCCCCCAGGACAGUUUCUGCCUCAAGAACUGGGAGAAUUCCAGGCACUUCCAGCAACCGUAAUACACCGUGCAAUAAAUGUUGGCAAUGCGCAGGUCUCUGGAAACGCUUCAUUUCCCCCAAAUUGAUGAUGCAUGGGAAAGCUCCCAGUCAAAAUCCACAAAGCCCUCACCUCAUCCCCCUUCACAUCAUUCCUCAAACCUCUCGUAUUCUGUGAUGUGCACAGAAUCCUGCAACCGGAGAAUGGCUAGGCCGGUCAGCUGUGAUCACUACUCCGCAUUGGCCCAGGAUCGUGCACACCCUAUCAUUUUUUUAACCUGUUUUCCCCCAAAUCCAUCGUGGUCUGCUUGUUUCAUCCACUAUCACCUUGUCUUUUAGGCUACACCUCCAGUGGAAGCUUACAGCCGGAGGAGACCUACCCCCUUUAGCUCUGGUUGAGCUAACCCUAAAAACAGGAGUGUAAUCACAGCGGCGCGAGCAAUGGGAUGGGCUAGCUACCCGAGUACAUACCCAGGGGCUCAGAUGGGUACGUAUACAGGGCAGCUAGCCCCUCUUGCUGCUGUUUUGAGAACGCUUUCUUGAUCGGAGCUAUUGUGGGUAUGUCUCCUCAAGCUGGGAAUUACCCCUCAAGAUGAAAGUGCUGAUGUACGCUUCGACUGGAAAGGGCUUGGGGCAGGGAAUGUAUUUUACCAUCUGUUUUCACAGACUUAGCCCAACAGAGCCCUUGCCUGGUGUGGCUCUGGAAACUACUGCAAAGUUAAAUGAAGCUAAAUCCUCCUUUCAACAGUCACAGAUACAUAUUUGUAAUUCAUGCAUUCCAUUCCAUUUACUCUGCAUGUCCUGCAAUAUGUAUGAGCAAUUGGUAAAGAACUGGUGUGUGUGACUGUGGGAGAAAGAGGGAGAACCACUGCCCUCUACUGGGGGAAUUUGAUCUGCUCGACUAGUACAGCACCAUGGGCCUUAUGCUUCUCACAGCUGAUAUUCUCCUUCAGUUGAUGUGGGAGGGACUUGUGCUUUUGGGGCAGGAGGAGCUGAGUUCUAUCCUGGAGUGGCCAUGGUGUUCAGCAUAACAGCAACCAUGAAGUCCUAGGUGGCCUGGAUCUUCUGUGUUUUGUCCUAUAUUGUUAAAGGAAGAACCCAAGAAGUGGAGGCUGCAUUGCCAUUCUUCCAUGGCAAGAGGUAAAGAGUUACACCUUUCCCUGCACAGCCUCAGAGCUGGCCUUCAGGAAGCAGGAAGAUGGUUCUCUUCUGCUUCCUGGAUUGCACAUGCCUUUGAUGCUUGAGUUACAAGAGUUGCCAGAUGCAACCAGUGAAGCAAUCACUGGUGGAUGUGCCAAUAUUAUGGCUGCUGAAUAAGAUGCGGGGGGGGGGGGGGUAUUUUUUUAACCAAAGUAUUAAAGAAAUAUAAAAAUGAAUACUUUGGCCUAAUACAGCACCCUUCAUUGGCACAUGAAGACCUUAAAUUGCUUAUUCCAAAGAUGAAUAAAUUAAGCCUCACCAAACAAAGCUACCUACAGACCAUCACCAUAAUUCCUGAGCACCUUCCCUUAGUAAAAUGACAACAGUGAUCUCUUUUUCCUUCCCUCUCUGCUGGGAAGAAGCAGCCUUUGCUUUUUCUAGGGAGCAGGAGAGAUGGAAGAAAGAUAUUCGUGUGGUAGAAGAACCUGACACCCCAGCAGUGACAGCGGAGGCUCCUGCAAGUCACAGCCGUGCUCUGGGAAACUUGUAUUACACCUGCCCACUUUUUACACAAAAAACAAAUGAAGAAAUAUAUAUUUACAACACGGGCAAACCAGGUGCGUCGAGCUGGGAGCACUCUGACCUGAAAGAAAUAUAUCCUGACGAGCUUUAUCACACGGGCAUGCCAGAUGGAGUCUGCAAAAGGGAUGUAAACCGUCCUGCACACAUAUGGAGUGUAUGAAUACCCCAGGGAUGAAGCCAAAUGCUUUGAGGGAGCUACAUCUGGGCCAGAAUGCAGCAGAUCAUCUGUUCACUAGAACACUUCACACUGAUUCACCAUUCCCUACACUGGCUCCCCACUGACCAGACUCCAGUGCACUGAUUUACAAACCUCUGCAUGGUAUUGGCUGGACCAAGACUAUGGAACUCCCUGACAGAUAAAAUAAAGUUCGCACCAAUAGA
This is a non-coding RNA of Caretta caretta (loggerhead turtle), 3582 nucleotides long. The record is from RefSeq and is a predicted model, not a curated record. Lineage: Eukaryota; Metazoa; Chordata; Testudines; Cheloniidae.